Molecule: ribosomal RNA, 305 nt
Filed under: uncultured bacterium
Lineage: Bacteria
Description: bacterial SSU rRNA
Rfam family: Bacterial small subunit ribosomal RNA
Source: RNAcentral
ACCGCCCUACGGGGGGCAGCAGUGGGGAAUAUUGGGCAAUGGGCGCAAGCCUGACCCAGCAACGCCGCGUGAAGGAAGAAGGCUUUCGGGUUGUAAACUUCUUUUCUCAGAGACGAAGCAAGUGACGGUACCUGAGGAAUAAGCCACGGCUAACUACGUGCCAGCAGCCGCGGUAAUACGUAGGUGGCAAGCGUUAUCCGGAUUUACUGGGUGUAAAGGGCGUGUAGGCGGGACUGCAAGUCAGAUGUGAAAACCACGGGCUCAACCUGUGGCCUGCAUUUAAAACUGUAGUUCUUGAGUACUGG